Molecule: ribosomal RNA, 460 nt
Filed under: uncultured bacterium
Lineage: Bacteria
Description: partial 16S ribosomal RNA
Rfam family: Bacterial small subunit ribosomal RNA
Source: RNAcentral
CCUACGGGGGGCAGCAGUGAGGAAUAUUGGUCAAUGGGCGUAAGCCUGAAUCAGCCAAGUCGCGUGAGGGAUGAAGGUUCUAUGGAUCGUAAACCUCUUUUAUAAGGGAAUAAAGUGUGGGACGUGUCCUAUUUUGUAUGUACCUUAUGAAUAAGGAUCGGCUAACUCCGUGCCAGCAGCCGCGGUAAUACGGAGGAUCCGAGCGUUAUCCGGAUUUAUUGGGUGUAAGGGGUGCGUAGGCGGCCUUGUAAGUCAGCGGUGAAAGUCUGUGGCUCAACCAUAGAAUUGCCGUUGAAACUGGGUGGCUUGAGUAUGUUUGAGGCAGGCGGAAUGCGUGGUGUAGCGGUGAAAUGCGUAGAUAUUACGAGGAACCCCGAUUGCGAAGGCAGCCUGCCAAGCCAUGACUGACGCUGAUGCACGAAAGCGUGGGGAUCAAACAGGAUUAGAUACCCGUGUAGUC